This 492-nucleotide ribosomal RNA is filed under the name uncultured bacterium. RNAcentral's name for it is "partial 16S ribosomal RNA". It matches the Rfam family "Bacterial small subunit ribosomal RNA", at positions 29 to 507 of the family's 1533-position model. The record is from RNAcentral.
AGUGAACGCUGGCGGUAGGCCUAACACAUGCAAGUCGAACGGCAGCACAGUAAGAGCUUGCUCUUACGGGUGGCGAGUGGCGGACGGGUGCGGAAUACAUCGGAAUCUACUUUUUCGUGGGGGAUAACGUAGGGAAACUUACGCUAAUACCGCAUACGACCUACGGGUGAAAGCAGGGGAUCUUCGGACCUUGCGCGAUUGAAUGAGCCGAUGUCGGAUUAGCUAGUUGGCGGGGUAAAGGCCCACCAAGGCGACGAUCCGUAGCUGGUCUGAGAGGAUGAUCAGGCACACUGGAACUGAGACAAGGUCCAGAGUCCUACGGGAGGCAGCAGUGGGGAAUAUUGGACAAUGGGCGCAAGCCUGAUCCAGCCAUACCGCGUGGGUGAAGAAGGACUUCGGGUUGUAAAGCCCUUUUGUUGGGAAAGAAAAGCAGCAGGUUAAUACCCCGCUGUUCUGACGGUACCCAAAGAAUAAGCACCGGCUAACUUCGUG